This is an RNA transcript of Zea mays, 3113 nucleotides long. RefSeq lists it as uncharacterized. The record is from RefSeq and is a predicted model, not a curated record. The transcript has 7 exons. Lineage: Eukaryota; Viridiplantae; Streptophyta; Magnoliopsida; Poales; Poaceae.
ACAGGUGAGCUCACUCUCAGUCGGUCUCCGCCCACCGCUGCCGCACGCGACGCUGUGCCCAGGAGUGCACCGCACCGCACCUGCCCAGCCGCCCAGGGUUCACGCCCGCGGCCCGCGGCCCGCCGAACCUUCACCGUCCCCCGCCCCGCCUUGCUGAAUUCCAAAGUCCAAACCGACGAGCGCAGCGUGGUGACAUUGGUGGUCUUCGAAAGUUUUGGGCUGGCUUAUUUACUUACGGGACAAGACCCAGCUAGCUCGUAGCCCAUUAUCUGCUAGUAGCCUGGCAGUUCCGACGCUGCUUGCGGCGGCGCUUGGCAAGGCCGACAAACGGCGACCAGGCAGGCGAGCUCGUCGCCUCGGGGGCAGGGAGGACCGGAGCCCCUCGCCUCGGAGGAAGGGAGGACCUGAGGUUUCAGUGUUGGGUGACAGUUCCCCAUAUCCUCCAAGCGCGUGCUUGCCUGCAGCAACAGAUCGCUUGUCAACUCCAUUGGCUUUAAUGGGUGCACCUUCACAAAUAUUUGUUGGGAAGUCAAAAGCCUUCUGCAUUGCCAAAAGCUCUUUUCCUGAACACAAAUAUGCCCUUUCAAUUUUAAUCCCACGACUCUCCCAUUGCCAUAUUCCCCUCCUCCUCUCCCAGUCAAUUGUUUCAGGUCUUCUCCUCAAGCUCCCCCUUGUCCACUCUGUCCUCCGAUCUCUCUCUUUGGGGCAUUUCCCAUCUCUAUCCCUCGAUUUACUCGCCCUGCUACGCCAUUCUGGAUGUAUGACCCUCGAUAGCUACUCCCUCAACAUUGCUUUCUAUGCCACUGCCCGCCUCCCAUCUGUUUCUGUUGGUGCCCAGCUUCAUUCCCUUUCUGUCAAACUUGGCUUGGUUUCAGAUACAUUUGUCCUUAAUUCUCUUAUCAACAUGUACUCGUCUUGUAGCUAUCCAACAACUGCAAGACAAGUUCUCGAUUCUGCUCCCCAAGGAGCUUGUGACACAGUUUCUUGGAACACAAUAAUUUCUGGAUACCUACGAUGUGGGAUGCCUAAUAAGGCUCUGCAGGCUUUUGGCCAGAUGGUCAAGGAGCCAGUUAGACUGGAUGAUGUCACAUUGCUGAACGCACUCGUUGCUUCUGCCAAGGCAGGCAAAGCGAAGGUCGGGAGGCUGUGUCACAGUUUAGUUGUGGUGAACGGGGCUGGAAUUAAUUGUUAUAUGGGAUCCUCUCUGAUUAGUAUGUAUGCCAAGUGUGGAUUGGUUGAGGAUGCCCGCAAGGUAUUUCACGGAAUGCAUGAGAGAAACGUCGUUUGCUGGACAUCAAUGAUUUCUGGGUACACACAGUUGGGUAAGUUUAAAAAGGCUGUCGAUCUUUUCAGGGAUAUGCAAAUUACUGGAAUGAAGGCUGAUGAUGGGACGAUUGCUACUGUUGUGUCUUCAUGUGCCCAAAUGGGAGCACUUGACUUGGGACGAUAUGUUCAUGCUUACUGUGAUGUUCAUGGUUUAGGGAAGGAGCUUUCUGUUAAGAAUUCACUGAUUGAUAUGUACUCGAAAUGUGGGGAUAUAACUAAGGCUCAUGAGAUAUUCUGUGGAUUGACCAAGAGAGAUGUGUUUUCUUGGACGGCAAUGAUAAUGGGCUUUACUGUUAAUGGCUUAUGUAAUGAAGCACUUGAUUUGUUUGCUCAGAUGGAAGGAGAGGGUAAGGUUAUGCCAAAUGAGGUCACUUUUUUGGGUGUCCUUACUUCUUGUAGCCAUGGAGGGUUAGUGGAACAAGGGUUCCAUCACUUCCAGCGUAUGUCCAUGGUCUACAAUCUUGCACCGAGGAUUGAACACUAUGGAUGCAUGGUUGAUCUCUUGGGACGUGCAAAGCUAUUGACAGAGGCAGAACAAUUUAUUAACGGGAUGCCUAUUGCCCCAGAUGUUGUAGUAUGGCGGUCUUUAUUGUUUGCCUGCAGAGCUUGUGGAGAGGUGGGACUUGCAGAAUUUGUAGCAGAAAGGAUCCUAGAACUGGAGCCAAAAAAGUGUGCAGGACAUGUUUUACUUUCUAAUGUCUAUGCUGCCACAUCAAGGUGGGUUGAUGUGAAUAAAUUGCGGACAUCUAUGGACAGUUGUAGGAUGAGUAAGCAACCUGGAUGCUCUUUCAUUGAAGUGGACGGAUGUGUGCACGAGUUCUUUGCAGGAGAUGAAUCACACCUUGAGAUAGAUGCUAUAUAUAACAUUCUUUUGGGGAUCAAUGAACUGUUAGUAGCAGAGUCCUUGUAUGAAAGUUGUGAUAUUUUUUUGUCAAUUAAGUAGCUUUAUGAUCAAGCAGGAGCUCUGAUUAACAGAAUUUUUUGAAUUCUCCCCAAAUUGAAGGGUGCACCUGAAGGGAGUUAUGGAUCGGAAGAAUCAAACUCCUCAAGGUCAAAUAGCACAGGUGGUUGUGGAAUUUCUUGAGGUAGCAAUCAGCUGCAUCGUCUUCCUCAAAGGCUUCUAUCCUCCUCGUGCCUUUGAGAGGAGAAGGUACAUGAAUGUGGUGGUCCAGAAAGCACUGCAUCCUGAGCUUACUAGCUAUAUUCACUCUGUGACUUUCGGUCUUCUACCUUUCAUUCAGAAGGGAUUGGUAGAGAGGGUCGUGGUCAUCUUCUAUGACAAAGGGCAUGUACCGACCGAGAAGUUCGUCUUCAAGCUUGCAGUCAACCAGUCAUACCGUUCCAAGUUAGAGGAGGCGAACCUGGAGUUCGCUCUGCGAGCAUUCUUGAUCAAGCUGACUGUUGCUGAGCCUGUUACCAGACCCCUUCCACCAGAUGGUAGCUGGGAGGUGACCGCCUACUUCCGGUCCCUCCCCGGCGACGGUGACCGAGAAGCUCAGCUGUGGAUUCCUACGGACGCCGAGCUGUGGAUGCAGCCUCCGCAGAUCACCCCCAUCAAGUCAGUCAGCUGUGACCCUCUGACGAUGCAGCUCUACUUGGAGCACCCUAGCGUCACGGAACCGAAGGAGCCACCGGCAUAAUGACAGGAGCCUGCACCUGUGGGCUGUGAUACACUGCAAUGUAUAGAAUUUUUUUUUGCAAGGCAACUUUGGCACGAACCCUCGAGUCAGUGAAACCUUUUUUGUUCAGACAGAGGCAAGGAAACUACUUCUAUCCAGUGGCUUCAA